Oenanthe melanoleuca is the source of this 617-nucleotide long non-coding RNA. RefSeq lists it as uncharacterized. Lineage: Eukaryota; Metazoa; Chordata; Aves; Passeriformes; Muscicapidae. The record is from RefSeq and is a predicted model, not a curated record. The transcript has 3 exons.
UUGUGCUGGGAGCUCCCAGCUCCCUAGUGAGAACUUUUUUCUUAUAUUUAUGGAGGAAAAGGAGUAAUUUCUUUCUAUCAAAAAUGAAUGAAAACCUGAAAAAUCUCUACCAGGGAAAAGAUACUGCUGAGUUUCUCACUAAAGGAAAAUGUCCUGGAGGACGCCAAGGGCAGGACUUUUCACUGCAGCAGCUGAGCAACACCAUCAUCCUCCUGACACUGGCAUCCCACAGCCCUGGUCUCAUGGACCAUUCCCAGGGUUUUCCUCAGCCCUAGACCAGGAGCCACCCACUGCUGCAGGGGAGGAGAUUGAACCUGCUGCCCAUGGUCAUACCCCUGAAUGUGACUUCAGCCAGGACUCAGCCACACUCCUCUGCUGCACCUGGGCUGUCCACUGUCCCCAGGAGCCAUCACACCCAGCAGAUGUCACAGGCUGGUGGCACCUGCCGAAAAACCCGUCCUGGGCUGAGCCAGGAACCCUGGCAGUGCUCAGUGCAGGGGGAGCAGGGAGGGGCAGCCCCCAGGUUCCUUCUGUGGGAAUUCCCUGCCUGGGCCCACCUUCCCAGCCCUCACCACAAACUGGCAGGGACACCUCAGUGAGGGGGACCAGCAGGUUUA